Long non-coding RNA from Adelges cooleyi (spruce gall adelgid), 487 nucleotides. RefSeq lists it as uncharacterized. The transcript is spliced from 3 exons. Lineage: Eukaryota; Metazoa; Arthropoda; Insecta; Hemiptera; Adelgidae. The record is from RefSeq and is a predicted model, not a curated record.
UUGUUUACAUGAAGUGUUUUAAAAUAAUAUUAUCUUAAAUCUAGCAUGUGAUCGCUGACUGACUAGGUAUAUAAGUUAUAACUCAGUUUUAAAACUACUCGUCAAAAUAUUAUUUAUUGUAGUUUCAGGUUUGAAAAUUGUAGUUUCAAGCUAUGACUGAAUAACACCUGUAUUCUACACUCCUAGCCAUCGCCAAAACUUCAGCUAUUUCAACUGUAUGUUGCUAGAAUGUAAUUCAAUUAGUAAUUAAGUUGAUUUUUUCAUGAUUCAUUAGGGCAGGUAAAAAUAUCACCCAAUUCACUAAAAAUCUACUAAUAUUUCACCAUGACACAGAGAUCUCAUGUACAGUAAUCGAAAAUACGAGGUAUAAAAUAGCUAAAUGACAUAGCUAAUUUCAAGUAUGUUGUCCAUUAAAUCGGAUGUGGCCAAUUUAAUAGACGUACUUCAAGGGUUCCAAAUAAUCAUCGAUUUAUCCUUUCAAUUUAUU